Molecule: microRNA precursor, 105 nt
Filed under: Canis lupus familiaris (dog)
Lineage: Eukaryota; Metazoa; Chordata; Mammalia; Carnivora; Canidae
Also listed under: 1 other name
Description: mir-8834 microRNA precursor family
Rfam family: mir-8834 microRNA precursor family
Source: Rfam by way of RNAcentral
AGGAGGAACAGCCCCAGUGGCGGGGCCAGCUCUGGAGCCCUGGAUUCAGCCCCCACAGUAGCUCCAGAGCUCUCCGUCUGCAGGGCCUGGAGGCUCCGGGGCGGG